Vigna umbellata (rice bean) is the source of this 487-nucleotide non-coding RNA. Lineage: Eukaryota; Viridiplantae; Streptophyta; Magnoliopsida; Fabales; Fabaceae. The record is from RefSeq and is a predicted model, not a curated record.
GUUAAUUUUUACAUAUAUUUACUGUGUUUAUUUCCUAUUUUUAAAUUCAAAAACAUUUUCCGUAUCUUUGCAGAAUGAAGAUGGUGGUUUUGCAACAUAUGAGCUUAAACGAUCUUAUAAUUGGUUGGAGUUAAUCAAUCCGGCUGAAACAUUUGGUGACAUCGUUAUGAUUAUCCUUAUGUGGAAUGUACAUCAGCAGCAAUCAAGCUGGCAUCAUUUAGGAAAUAUAUCCUGGACAUCGCCGAGAAGAAAUACAAUGUUGUAUAGAGAAAUCUGCUGCCUUCAUUGAAAAUAUACAAGCUUCAGAUGGCUCAUGGUAUGGUUCUUGGGGAGUUUGCUUCACUUGUGCUUGUUUGGGGUAAAAGGAUUGAUGCUGCUGGAAGAGUUUCAGUAAUUGCCCAAGCAUCCGGAAAGCUUGUGAAUUUCUGCUGUCCAAGCAGCUUCCUUCCGGUGGCUGGGGAGAGAGCUAUCUGUCCUGUCAAAACAA